This 573-nucleotide long non-coding RNA is filed under the name Physcomitrium patens. Its description in RNAcentral is "long non-coding RNA (PPAT_LNC006206)". The record is from RNAcentral. Lineage: Eukaryota; Viridiplantae; Streptophyta; Bryopsida; Funariales; Funariaceae.
AAACAUUAACAAUCAUAAUCAAACAUUAAGCAAGAUCAAUUAAAUUUUAUUGAAGUUAUAAAAGAAACACAAGGAAAUCCUAAAGAAAUAUAAAAGAAUAUUAAUGAAAACUUAGUCAAACCUUAACAAAAAUCUAAUAAAACCUUAAAUACUAACCAAAUCUUAAUCCUAAUCUAACUUUAAUUAAAUCUUAGAUAAAUCCUAAAUCUUAAAUCAAAUCCUAAUCAAACCUUAAUCCCUAAUCAAACCCUAAUCCAAACCCUAAAUCCUAAAUCCUAAACCAAAUCCUAAUCCAAAUUCUAAACCCUAAACCAAACCCUAAUCAAACCUUAAUUCCUAACCAAAUCCUAAUCUAAAUCCUAAAUCCUAAAAAAAACCCUAAUCCAAAUCUUAAACCCUAAACCAACUCCUAAACCCUAAACCAAACCCUAAAUCCUAAAUCAAACCCUAAUCCAAAUCCUAAACCCCAAACCAAAUCCUAACCAAAUCCUAAAUCAAACUCUAAUAAUUCUUAAUUCUUAAUUCUUAACAGAUUUAAACCUCAAUAACUAAUGAAUAAACCGUUGAUCUUAA